Molecule: transfer RNA, 75 nt
Filed under: Cordylochernes scorpioides
Lineage: Eukaryota; Metazoa; Arthropoda; Arachnida; Pseudoscorpiones; Chernetidae
Description: tRNA-Thr
Source: RNAcentral
GUCCAGGGUAGCCUAGUGGACAUGGCAUCUGCCCGGUAAGUGGGACACUGUGGAUUAGAUUCCCAACCCUGGACA